AUGAAAGAUACACGCAUUGCUGAUCACGAGAGAACGAACAAAGAUCAAUCUGAGGCAAAUAUCUCAAUAAUCCUUUCUGAUAUUCGAGUAAUAUUAUGUAUAAUAUGUUGCAGACCUAUUUAACUAUAUCGGGUUAUUUUUAGAACGUGAUUGUUGAUGUUGCCGCUGAUGAUUCCUAAUUGCGAACCCCUGUAAAAUCCAGUGCGGGUGUAAAAGCAUAUGAAACCCCCGGAUUUGGUCAGGUUUUUUUGUGUGAUUGGAUCGAACCCUUCAGACACCGAGAUGGCGAGCCUCCCAACCGAACUACUGUGAUUUGAGAGAAACGCAGACGGAGAAUCCAUGGAUUAGUGCUUUCUACUGAUCAGGUGGAAUCCAUUUCAUUGUGUAUAUUCUGAUCGGUAGGAUCUGACUUUUCCUUCAUCGAUUACUUUGCACUAUUGGCUGUUGAAACAGCUUUCAUCUACACCAAGAGACUUUUGCACACACUAACAUAUUUUUCCACUUUGGAUGACAAAGGAACAUUCAUUUAUACACAGACUGAGAAGGUAUUGACUGUUAUAUUGUUUGAAGAGUUUGAAUUGUUUUCAGAUUGUUUCGAAUUGAACUUUUGUGAUGUUGUACAUUUCUUUUUCUCAUUUUAAUUUUCAAUUUGGGUUAAUCUUUUCUAUGAGUGAAAUAUAAAAGCGUUGAACAAAAAACUAAAACCCAAAGAUAAGAAAAGCUCUUAUUAAACUAAAAGUUAGUGAAACUGAAUAUCUAUAAACCGAAAUAGAAACUAAACAACUGAAACAUAAAUCGAAUAACUAGAAGCAAAUAGGAGAAAAGCUAUUUAAAUAGUGAACAGAGCUCAAAGAUAUCAAAAAGAACAACAGGGGAUUGAAAAGAACAAUUAUUUCAUUUGGUUUUAUUUAUUUUUAUUUAAUUGUGUUACAUUUGCUUCCAUUAUUAUUUUUGCACAAACAAAAUACAUUGAGUCAAUUCCAGGUAUUGUCUGUGUCCUUGUGUGCCUUGAUCACUUACCCUCCUGUAACGAACCUAAUCACUGGUCCAACAUCAGGUGCUUAGAGCGACCUGUCCCUGUUACAGAAACUAUUGUUACACAUAACCUUUUUUCCUUCAUUUAACAUUGUAAAGUUUGUCUUGUACAACCCAUUUUGCAUGCUUGCUAAUAUAGGUCAUGUUUUCCUUGUGCAACAAAAGUAAACUUCAGAUAUGAGAA
Ctenopharyngodon idella (grass carp) is the source of this 1219-nucleotide long non-coding RNA. RefSeq lists it as uncharacterized. The transcript has 2 exons. The record is from RefSeq and is a predicted model, not a curated record. NCBI's taxonomy places the organism in Eukaryota, Metazoa, Chordata, Actinopteri, Cypriniformes, Xenocyprididae.